This 463-nucleotide ribosomal RNA is filed under the name uncultured bacterium. RNAcentral's name for it is "partial 16S ribosomal RNA". It matches the Rfam family "Bacterial small subunit ribosomal RNA", at positions 28 to 507 of the family's 1533-position model. The record is from RNAcentral.
GAUGAACGCUGACAGAAUGCUUAACACAUGCAAGUCGAUGGGGAAGUGGUGCUUGCACCAUGGUAACCAUGGCGGACGGGUGAGUAACGCGUAAGGAACUUGCCUGCGGGACUGGGAUAACAGCAGGAAACUGCUGAUAAUACCGGAUAAGGUCAUUAAGCUGCAUAGCUUAGUGAUGAAAGGAGACGCCUGCGGAGAGCCUUGCGUCCUAUUAGCUAGUUGGAGGGGUAACGGCCCACCAAGGCGAAGAUAGGUAGCCGGCCUGAGAGGGUGGACGGCCACCAGGGGGCUGAGAUACCGCCCUUACUCCCACCGGAGGCCGCAGUGGGGAAUAUUGGACAAUGGGGGCAACCCUGAUCCAGCAAUUCUGUGUGCACGAAGACGGUUUUCGGAUUGUAAAGUGCUUUCAGCAGGGGAGAAGGAAGUGACGGUACCUGCAGAAGAAGCGACGGCUAAAUACGUG